Molecule: ribosomal RNA, 1067 nt
Filed under: uncultured cyanobacterium
Lineage: Bacteria; Bacillati; Cyanobacteriota
Description: bacterial SSU rRNA
Rfam family: Bacterial small subunit ribosomal RNA
Source: RNAcentral
GACGGUACCUGAAGAAAAAGCAUCGGCUAACUCCGUGCCAGCAGCCGCGGUAAUACGGAGGAUGCAAGCGUUAUCCGGAAUCAUUGGGCGUAAAGGGUCCGCAGGUGGCGAAUAAAGUCUGCUGUUAAAGACCGGGGCUAAACUCCGGAAGGGCAGUGGAAACUGAUUAGCUAGAGUACGGUAGGGGUAGAGGGAAUUCCCAGUGUAGCGGUGAAAUGCGUAGAUAUUGGGAAGAACACCGGUGGCGAAAGCGCUCUACUAGGCCGAAACUGACACUGAGGGACGAAAGCUAGGGUAGCGAAAGGGAUUAGAUACCCCUGUAGUCUUAGCUGUAAACGAUGGAUACUAGGCGUAGCUUGUAUCGACCCGAGCUGUGCCGAAGCUAACGCGAUAAGUAUCCCGCCUGGGGAGUACGCACGCAAGUGUGAAACUCAAAGGAAUUGACGGGGGCCCGCACAAGCGGUGGAGUAUGUGGUUUAAUUCGAUGCAACGCGAAGAACCUUACCAGGGCUUGACAUGUCGCGAAUCUGGCGGAAACGUUAGAGUGCCUUAGGGAACGCGAACACAGGUGGUGCAUGGCUGUCGUCAGCUCGUGUCGUGAGAUGUUGGGUUAAGUCCCGCAACGAGCGCAACCCUCGUCCUUAGUUGCCAAUAUUAAGUUAGGCACUCUAGGGAGACUGCCGGGGACAACUCGGAGGAAGGUGGGGAUGACGUCAAGUCAGCAUGCCCCUUACGUCCUGGGCGACACACGUACUACAAUGGUUGGGACAAAGGGCAGCAAGCUCGCGAGAGUAAGCGAAUCUCAUCAAACCCAGCCACAGUUCAGAUUGCAGGCUGCAACUCGCCUGCAUGAAGUAGGAAUCGCUAGUAAUCGCAGGUCAGCAUACUGCGGUGAAUUCGUUCCCGGGCCUUGUACACACCGCCCGUCACACCAUGGAAGCUGGCUACGCCCGAAGUCGUUACCCUAACCCGGUUUUGGGAGGGGGAUGCCGAAGGUAGAGCUAGUGACUGGGGUGAAGUCGUAACAAGGUAGCCGUACCGGAAGGUGUGGCUGGAUCACCUCCUUU